GUGCCUUCCACCAAGAGUACGGACUGUGAGCAGAAGUACAAAAAUGGAAGCUUAAAGCUGGAACAAAUCAGACAAUAGCAGCUGCAUGCAGAUGAGCGGCCACAGCCUUUGAAAACAUGAGAAACAAGGAGGCCGUGCAGGGACAAUGUCCAAUGGAAAGACCAUUUAUCAGAAAAUAAGCUUGUAUGCUGCAGUUGUACAUCUGGUAAUUGACUAGCAGUGACUGAGAGUUUUCUGCAUAAGCUUGUAUUUCAUUGUGUAACAGAAGGUCACUGUGGCUGCAUAACAGCUGUACUUGAAGUUCUUGUGCUAUACUGCGCCAUCAUGAAAGACAAGCAUUACUCUCUGUAUUUGGCUUUUUAAGGUACGUUUGAGUCAAUAACAGCUUCAUAGUCCAGCUGGAACUAGAGCACAGAGCAAAGAAUAGAGAGAGAAGCAUGUGCUGGGGAGGGAGGGAUCCUGC
Molecule: long non-coding RNA, 463 nt
Filed under: Anas platyrhynchos platyrhynchos (common mallard)
Lineage: Eukaryota; Metazoa; Chordata; Aves; Anseriformes; Anatidae
Description: lncRNA (ENSAPLG00000022049.1)
Source: RNAcentral